Molecule: long non-coding RNA, 533 nt
Organism: Molossus molossus (Pallas's mastiff bat)
Lineage: Eukaryota; Metazoa; Chordata; Mammalia; Chiroptera; Molossidae
Exons: 3
Source: RefSeq, a predicted model, not a curated record
CACCCUCAGAUGAGCCUCAGGCAAGAGCUCCAGGCCGGGCUGACAAUGCCAGACUUUUGAGUCCCUCACAUACACGGGACAGCACCCCUUAUCAACCGGCCGGGAAGCGGACACCUCAGUUCCAAUGCUCCCAUUAACGGAGGUGCCCGUUGCGCCCGGCACUAUGGGCCCGUCUUUGCAGGCCAUCGAAGUCAUCAGAAGAGAGGCCCGCCUCUCAGCCAAGGAAAGAAAACAACCCACUGAAGCGGAACCACCCCCACUGGACAUUGAGCCUGGUGACUGGAUUUGGAUCAAGAAGUUUAACAAGGAAACCCUCGAACCUACCUGGGAUGGGCCCCACUUUGUAAUUCUAACAACCCUCACAGCCUUUAAGGUGUCUAAUAAGAGACCGUGGAUUCACCACACCCAGGAACCCUUGCCAACUGUGCCCGAGCCGGCAAGCCCACCCUAGGAGAUCUUCAAGGACAGGGGACCUGCUUCAUCCUUGGAAACCUCAACCUCCAAGCUUCGCCAUACAAGGACAACUGCCUGAC